GGGCAGUUAGCUCAGCGGUAGAGCAUCCCGUUUACACCGGGACGGUCGGGAGUUCGAUCCUCUCACUGCCCA
This 72-nucleotide transfer RNA is filed under the name Pseudolabrys sp. Root1462. It matches the Rfam family "tRNA". From Rfam's summary of the family: Transfer RNA (tRNA) molecules are approximately 80 nucleotides in length. Their secondary structure includes four short double-helical elements and three loops (D, anti-codon, and T loops). The record is from Rfam by way of RNAcentral. Lineage: Bacteria; Pseudomonadati; Pseudomonadota; Alphaproteobacteria; Hyphomicrobiales; Xanthobacteraceae.